UGGGGAAUCUUGCACAAUGGGGGAAACCCUGAUGCAGCGACGCCGCGUGAACGAUGAAGCCCUUCGGGGUGUAAAGUUCUUUCGACAGGAACGAUAAUGACGGUACCUGGAGAAGAAGCUGCGGCUAACUACGUGCCAGCAGCCGCGGUAAUACGUAGGCAGCGAGCGUUGUUCGGAGUUACUGGGCGUAAAGAGUGCGUAGGCGGCGAGCCAAGUUUGGUGUGAAAUCUCCCGGCUUAACCGGGAGGGUGCGCCGAAAACUGGUUGGCUGGAGUAUGGGAGAGGAAAGCGGAAUUCCUGGUGUAGCGGUGAAAUGCGUAGAUAUCAGGAGGAACACCUGCGGUGUAGACAGCUUUCUGGACCAAAACUGACGCUGAGGCACGAAAGCGUGG
RNAcentral lists this ribosomal RNA (392 nucleotides) under uncultured bacterium. RNAcentral describes it as "bacterial SSU rRNA". It matches the Rfam family "Bacterial small subunit ribosomal RNA", at positions 355 to 764 of the family's 1533-position model. The record is from RNAcentral.